Brassica oleracea var. oleracea is the source of this 561-nucleotide long non-coding RNA. RefSeq lists it as uncharacterized. The transcript is spliced from 2 exons. NCBI's taxonomy places the organism in Eukaryota, Viridiplantae, Streptophyta, Magnoliopsida, Brassicales, Brassicaceae. The record is from RefSeq and is a predicted model, not a curated record.
UUGAAAUGUUUCGUAUUGUCUUUUUUCUUUUUCAUAUGUGCCAAGUAAAAAACCGGCUUAACGGUGAGUACCAUGUUCUCUCUUCACGUACAAUUCAAUUCUAUUUUCAGUCAUUUGCCUUCUUUGAUUCUUUUAUUUUUUAUUUUUGAUGUUGAGUAUGGGAUAAUAAGCAACGGAUCGGCGAGAACGUAUGAAUAUCUUACUAACGUAAAGACAAUGCGAGAUAUUGGUGCGGUUCAAUCAGAAAUCCACACUCUUUUGUUGUAGAGAUCGGUUUGUUUGAUUGAGCCGUGCCAAUAUCACGAGUGUAAUUGGCCUCCACCAUGCUAGCUGGUGUUUAUCAAGGUUCUGGAGUUCGGAUAACACAAGAAUGAGCGUAAUCCUUGAAUAUAGACAUCGAUAUACCUAAUCUGCAAGGCCGCAAAUACUAUGAAACUCAAAUAAAAAUGUUAUUAAGAGGAAUUCUUUUCCUUUUUUCUUAUAUUGAAUAUUUUUACUCUAUUAUUAUAGUGACGACUCAUUAAACAAAGAUGUCCGACUAAUGAGAUUGCGUUAUUUGUA